Non-coding RNA from Oryza barthii, 107 nucleotides. Lineage: Eukaryota; Viridiplantae; Streptophyta; Magnoliopsida; Poales; Poaceae. The record is from Rfam.
AUUCCAUGAUGAGGACAGGCGGCCACGUACUCCUGCAGUCAUUCCCACGCCUCGGGAAUAGACUCGUCUCUCGUCUGCUGGAAACUUGAAAUUUUGCCGCGUAGGGC